CUGAUCUACCCCCUGUCUGCCUUAUCAACUGUCGACGGUAGGAGCCCGGCCUACCGUGGUGAUAACGGGUAGCGGGGAAUAAGGGUUCUAUACCGGAGAGGGAGCAUGAGAAACGGCUACCACAUCCAAGGAAGGCAGCAGGCACGCAAAUUACCCACUCCCGGCACGGGGAGGUAGUGACGAUCAAUAACGAUGCGGGACUCUGACGAGGCUCCGUAAUCGGAAUGGGCGUAAUUUAAAUCCUUCGACGAGGAUCAAGUGGAGGGCAAGUCUGGUGCCAGCAGCCGCGGUAAUUCCAGCUCCACUAGCGUAUAUUAAAGUUGCUGCAGUUAAAAAGCUCGUAGUCGGAUCUCGGGAUCGUGUCGGCGGCUUUGUCGCUUCUUCUGCGCUUCGGCGUUGGGAGUUGUGGCAGGUCGUCGGCCCUGUCGGCGAGGUCCCCACCCUUGGUGGGGUUCCACCUCGCUCGUGCAGCCCGCCGUCGCGUUUGGGCGGGUGUCCUUAAUUGGAUGCCCGCUCUCGAACGUGGCCAUUUUACCUUGAACAAAUCGGAGUGCUCAAAGCAGGCUCUUCAUCGCUCGAACGGUAGCGCAUGGAAUAAUGGAAGAGGACCGGCUUCCGCUUCUGUUGGUCUCACGGAGGCAAGUAAUGAUCAAGAGGGACGGAUGGGGACAAAGGUAUGGGCUUGUCGAGAGGUGAAAUUCUUGGACCCUAACCAGACCCUCGAGAGCGAAAGCAUCUGGUCAAGAAGGUUUCCAUUUGAUCAAGAACGAAAAUUCGCGGGAUUCGAACCGUGAUUAAAAUACCCCGGUAGUCGCGACCGUAAACGAUGCCAACCGGGAAUUCGGCGGCGUUACUUCCAUGACCCGUCGAGCGCCCGACCCGGGAAACCGAGAGUCUUUGGGUUCCGGGGGGAGUAUGGUUGCAAAGCUGAAACUUAAAGGAAUUGACGGAAGGGCACCACCAGGAGUGGAGCCUGCGGCUUAAUUUGACUCAACACGGGGAACCUCACCCGGCCCGGACACCGCGAGGAUUGACAGACUGAGAGCUCUUUCUCGAUUCGGUGGGUGGUGGUGCAUGGCCGUUCUUAGUUGGUGGAGCGAUCUGUCUGGUUAAUUCCGAUAACGAACGAGACCCCAACCUGCUAACUAGCCCUCGGGUCCUGCUUCUGUUGGGCCCGACGGAAUGAUUCGCUUCUUAGAGGGACUCGCGGCGCCUAGCCGCACGAAGGGGGGCGAUAACAGGUCUGUGAUGCCCUUAGAUGUUCGGGGCUGCACGCGCGCUACACUGAAGGCAUCAGCGUGCGCUUUGUCCGUUCCCUGCCUGAAAAGGCUGGGUAACCCGCUGAACCGCCUUCGUGCCUGGGAUAGGGAUUUGCAAUUAUCUCCCUUGAACGAGGAAUUCCCAGUAGGCGCGAGUCAUCAGCUCGCGUCGAUUACGUCCCUGCCCUUUGUACACACCGCCCGUCGCUACUACCGAU
This 1477-nucleotide ribosomal RNA is filed under the name Sagitta bipunctata. RNAcentral's name for it is "SSU rRNA". It matches the Rfam family "Eukaryotic small subunit ribosomal RNA", at positions 291 to 1689 of the family's 1831-position model. The record is from RNAcentral. Lineage: Eukaryota; Metazoa; Chaetognatha; Sagittoidea; Aphragmophora; Sagittidae.